Molecule: ribosomal RNA, 301 nt
Filed under: uncultured bacterium
Lineage: Bacteria
Description: partial 16S ribosomal RNA
Rfam family: Bacterial small subunit ribosomal RNA
Source: RNAcentral
CAGCAGCCACGGGAAUACGAAGGGGGCUAGCGUUGCUCGGAAUGACUGGGCGUAAAGGGCGCGUAGGCGGCGAUCAAAGUCAGGCGUGAAAUUCCUGGGCUCAACCUGGGGGCUGCGUUUGAUACUUGGUUGCUAGAGUGAGGAAGAGGGUCGUGGAAUUCCCAGUGUAGAGGUGAAAUUCGUAGAUAUUGGGAAGAACACCGGUGGCGAAGGCGGCGACCUGGUCCUUGACUGACGCUGAGGCGCGAAAGCGUGGGGAGCAAACAGGAUUAGAUACCCCAGUAGUCCCUGUCUCUUAUAU